UCGGUGACGGCAAGCUAAUCUCUUAAAGCCAGUCUCAGUUCGGAUUGUAGGCUGCAACUCGCCUACAUGAAGUCGGAAUCGCUAGUAAUCGCGGAUCAGCACGCCGCGGUGAAUACGUUCCCGGGCCUUGUACACACCGCCCGUCACACCACGAGAGUUUGUAACACCCGAAGUCGGUGAGGUAACCUUUUGGAGCCAGCCGCCUAAGGUGGGAUAGAUGAUUGGGGUGAAGUCGUAACAAGGUAUC
RNAcentral lists this ribosomal RNA (247 nucleotides) under uncultured bacterium. Its description in RNAcentral is "partial 16S ribosomal RNA". It matches the Rfam family "Bacterial small subunit ribosomal RNA", at positions 1254 to 1500 of the family's 1533-position model. The record is from RNAcentral.